AGCCUUGUGGUGUUUGUCACAUCAGAUUGCAAAUCUGAAGGAGUAGGCUAAGGGCCUACCGGGGCUU
RNAcentral lists this transfer RNA (67 nucleotides) under Scleropages formosus (Asian bonytongue). RNAcentral describes it as "tRNA-Cys". Lineage: Eukaryota; Metazoa; Chordata; Actinopteri; Osteoglossiformes; Osteoglossidae. The record is from RNAcentral.